AUUCAAUUUUCUGCCACCGAAUACAUUAGCAUGGGAUAAUGGAAUAGGACCCUGUCCUCCUAUUUUCAGUUGGUUUUGGCAGCGCGAGGACUAGGGUAAUGAUUAAUAGGGAUAGUUGGGGGCAUUAAUAUUUAAUUGUCAGAGGUGAAAUUCUUGGAUUUAUGAAAGAUUAACUUCUGCGAAAGCAUCUGCCAAGGAUGUUUUCAUUAAUCAAGAACGAAAGUUAGGGGAUCGAAGACGAUCAGAUACCGUCCUAGUCUUAACCCUAAACGAUGCCGACCAGCGAUUAGGCCCCCCCUGAAUCCCCCAACACCACCAUCGGCGCGGCCCCCCCCCCCCCCCCUCACCACGCCCCCCCCCCCCCCCCCCC
Molecule: ribosomal RNA, 370 nt
Filed under: Acanthamoeba sp.
Lineage: Eukaryota; Discosea; Longamoebia; Acanthamoebidae
Description: partial small subunit ribosomal RNA
Rfam family: Eukaryotic small subunit ribosomal RNA
Source: RNAcentral